GAUGAACGCUGGCGGCGUGCCUAAUACAUGCAAGUCGAGCGAACGGACGAGAAGCUUGCUUCUCUGAUGUUAGCGGCGGACGGGUGAGUAACACGUGGAUAACCUACCUAUAAGACUGGGAUAACUUCGGGAAACCGGAGCUAAUACCGGAUAAUAUUUUGAACCGCAUGGUUCAAAAGUGAAAGACGGUCUUGCUGUCACUUAUAGAUGGAUCCGCGCUGCAUUAGCUAGUUGGUAAGGUAACGGCUUACCAAGGCAACGAUGCGUAGCCGACCUGAGAGGGUGAUCGUCCACACUGGAACUGAGACACGGUCCAGACUCCUACGGGAGGCAGCAGUAGGGAAUCUUCCGCAAUGGGCGAAAGCCUGACGGAGCAACGCCGCGUGAGUGAUGAAGGUCUUCGGAUCGUAAAACUCUGUUAUUAGGGAAGAACAUAUGUGUAAGUAACUGUGCACAUCUUGACGGUACCUAAUCAGAAAGCCACGGCUAACUACGUG
Molecule: ribosomal RNA, 497 nt
Filed under: uncultured bacterium
Lineage: Bacteria
Description: partial 16S ribosomal RNA
Rfam family: Bacterial small subunit ribosomal RNA
Source: RNAcentral